GGUCUUAGCUUGCUAAGGCCGAUGGCGACCGGCGCACGGGUGAGUAACGCGUAUCCAACCUGCCUUACACUCUUGGACAGCCUUCUGAAAGGGAGAUUAAUACAAGAUGUUAUCAUGAGUAAGCAUUUUCGCAUGAUUAAAGGUUUACCGGUGUAAGAUGGGGAUGCGUUCCAUUAGAUAGUAGGCGGGGUAACGGCCCACCUAGUCUUCGAUGGAUAGGGGUUCUGAGAGGAAGGUCCCCCACAUUGGAACUGAGACACGGUCCAAACUCCUACGGGAGGCAGCAGUGAGGAAUAUUGGUCAAUGGACGAGAGUCUGAACCAGCCAAGUAGCGUGAAGGAUGAAGGUUCUAUGGAUUGUAAACUUCUUUUAUACGGGAAUAAACGGAUCCACGUGUGGAUUUUUGCAUGUACCGUAUGAAUAAGGAUCGGCUAACUCCGUGCCAGCAGCCGCGGUAAUACGGAGGAUCCGAGCGUUAUCCGGAUUUAUUGGGUUUAAAGGGAGCGUAGAUGGGUUGUUAAGUCAGUUGUGAAAGUUUGCGGCUCAACCGUAAAAUUGCAAUUGAUACUGGCAGUCUUGAGUACAGUUGAGGUAGGCGGAAUUCGUGGUGUAGCGGUGAAAUGCUUAGAUAUCACGAAGAACUCCGAUUGCGAA
This 654-nucleotide ribosomal RNA is filed under the name uncultured Bacteroidales bacterium. Its description in RNAcentral is "bacterial SSU rRNA". It matches the Rfam family "Bacterial small subunit ribosomal RNA", at positions 71 to 719 of the family's 1533-position model. Lineage: Bacteria; Pseudomonadati; Bacteroidota; Bacteroidia; Bacteroidales. The record is from RNAcentral.